Molecule: ribosomal RNA, 253 nt
Filed under: uncultured bacterium
Lineage: Bacteria
Description: partial 16S ribosomal RNA
Rfam family: Bacterial small subunit ribosomal RNA
Source: RNAcentral
UACAUAGACCUCAAGCGUUAUCCGGAUUUACUGGGCGUAAAGGGCGCGUAGGCGGCGUGACAAGUCACUUGUGAAAUCUCCGGGCUUAACUCGGAACGGUCAAGUGAUACUGUCGUGCUAGAGUACAGAAGGGGCAACUGGAAUUCUCGGUGUAGCGGUGAAAUGCGUAGAUAUCGAGAGGAACACCUGCGGCGAAGGCGGGUUGCUGGGCUGAUACUGACGCUGAGGCGCGAAAGCUAGGGGAGCGAACGGG